UCGGUCAAUCGGUUGUUGGGUUGCUGCCCCUGAAUUGGUAAUUUUGAGGAAAUUUUGCUGUUUUUGGUUAUUAUCUUGAAUAUUAUUAUAGAUAGAGAUAAACUGUAAACAGCAAUAAUGUUCAUCAAAGUAAGAUCUACAAAUAAGUCAACAUGACCAAAAUGGUCAGUUGACCCGUUUAGGAGUUAUUGCCCUUUAUAGUCAAUUUUAACCAUUUUUCAUAAAUUAAAUUAAUCUUUUACAAAAAUCUUCUCCUCUGAAACUACUGGGCCA
This 273-nucleotide long non-coding RNA is filed under the name Mytilus galloprovincialis (Mediterranean mussel). The record is from RNAcentral. Lineage: Eukaryota; Metazoa; Mollusca; Bivalvia; Mytilida; Mytilidae.